UCGAUCGCGAACGAGAGCGACCCUUACCUUUUAAAUAGCCAGGCUAUCUUUGGCGGGUCGCGGGUUUUUUGGAGGGCCUUUCGGGUCAAACCGAUGGAAGUUUGAGGCAAUAACAGGUCUGUGAUGCCCUUAGAUGUUUUGGGCCGCACGCGCGCUACACUGACAGAGCCAACGAGUUUAUUUCCUUGGCCGAAAGGUCUGGGUAAUCUUGUUAAACUCUGUCGUGCUGGGGAUAGAGCAUUGCAAUUAUUGCUCUUCAACGAGGAAUUCCUAGUAAGCGCAAGUCAUCAGCAUGCGUUGAUUACGUCCCUGCCCCCUUGAC
Molecule: ribosomal RNA, 322 nt
Filed under: uncultured fungus
Lineage: Eukaryota; Fungi
Description: bacterial SSU rRNA
Rfam family: Eukaryotic small subunit ribosomal RNA
Source: RNAcentral